GUGUUGGGUAUCUGGGAAGGGACCCCAGAUCCCAAUCUUACCUUUAUGUGCUUACAGCCCCAGGAGACAUCUUGGCAGUAACGACAUGAGACACCCUGAGCUGAGAUCGCCCAGCUAAGCUACUCCUAGAUCCCUGGACCCACUGGAUCUAAGAAACUUCUAUAAAAAGGUUGCUUUAAGCCACCAAGCUUUAGGAUGUUUAGUUACACCACAACAGAAACAAGUUUAAUAGGUCCUUACAAAGCACACAGGAUGAAGUCAGAAGGGAAGAAAUGGUCAUCCUGACCCAUUAGAACCUGACAGCUUCUUUUCUAAUCCAAAGGACUUCAGCACAGCAGAACACCUCUCUCUAGGAGGCUACAAGGUUUGCCAGCUCUCCAUGGAACAAGUUACAUUCUUCAUAUGUGACCAGCCAAUUACAAUGUCUGGGCAAGCCAAGCUUGGAGCUGUGGCCUACAGGGUAAUUACAAUGUUUCUGCAACGGAAGGACAAUGAUUGUCUCUGGAAGCCACCCGAAACCAUCAAGUUCCUGCCUAACUCAGGGCAAAAUUCUGCUGUGCACAGGAGGAGGCGUCACAGAAGAGCAGGAAAAUUCUGCUGUGCACAGGAGCCUUCAUGGAAGAGCAGGCAGCUCUGUUCCGGGGUACAAAGGUCCACAACCUGCUCUGCAGAUGGGCUCCGUUUGCUUCCAGGGGUACUGCUUCCAAAGCUGCCAUUCUGCAACAUUUCCAGUUUCUGCAGUUUCACAGGAGACUGGAGAUCUGGCCUUGGCCUGUGAAGUGUGGAGGAAGAAGCUCCCCACCAAAGGUGAGCAAGGACCCACGCCCUGGGCUGGGAGAGGUGAGAGUGGGGGUCAGUGGGUGAACAUUUUGCUUUGAUCUCUCAAAG
Non-coding RNA from Peromyscus maniculatus bairdii (prairie deer mouse), 888 nucleotides. NCBI's taxonomy places the organism in Eukaryota, Metazoa, Chordata, Mammalia, Rodentia, Cricetidae. The record is from RefSeq and is a predicted model, not a curated record.